Molecule: ribosomal RNA, 253 nt
Filed under: uncultured bacterium
Lineage: Bacteria
Description: partial 16S ribosomal RNA
Rfam family: Bacterial small subunit ribosomal RNA
Source: RNAcentral
UACGUAGGGGGCGAGCGUUGUCCGGAGUUACUGGGCGUAAAGCGCACGCAGGCGGUUCUGCGCGUUUCCAGUGCCAGCUCGCUGCUUAACGGCGAGAGUGCCGGGAAGACGGCAGGACUUGAGGGCCUCAGAGGGACAUAGAAUUCCGGGUGGAGUGGUGAAAUGCGUAGAUAUCCGGAGGAAUACCAAAGGCGAAGGCAGUGUCCUGGGAGGUGACUGACGCUGAGGUGCGAAAGCCAGGGGAGCGAACGGG